AUGUUUUAUAGCUCUUUUAGAAUUUUUUCCCUAGUACAGUUUCUGACCUUGGUCCGAAAUUCCAA
Small nuclear RNA from Apodemus sylvaticus (European woodmouse), 65 nucleotides. RefSeq annotates it as U7 small nuclear RNA. Lineage: Eukaryota; Metazoa; Chordata; Mammalia; Rodentia; Muridae. The transcript has a single exon. The record is from RefSeq and is a predicted model, not a curated record.